GGAAGGCAAGAAUGACUCAUGAAAAGCCUGCCUUUUGGAAGAGUUAACUCUGGAAGCAGAUUCUCUUCCACCCGGGGGCGAGGGUGAUAGGAGGAAGAUGUAGAAAGAUCCCCUAGAAGAGUCUCUUGUUGUCUUGGAACUUGCCAAAUACAAUUAGCUGGCUACUUAAUGAUCCCCAGAGCUUUGUUUGACAUCUCAAUAUCUUCCUAGUUCUGGGAUUGCAGAUGUUCUGUGUUGAGAAUUAUUACUCAAGGAACAAAAUAACACAAUAAAAAUGAUUCGCCAUGAAUGAUCCCUCCAUGAAGUCUUUGAAUAACAAUCCUAGUAACGUGGAAAACGAUGGCGAUGUUUGUUAAGUGAAGAAAAUAGAUCCUGGAAUUCCUUAUGUGUGGGAGGCUGCCGUGUUUAUGGUGGAGCAUGGGGACUGGCAGUCGGGAGG
This is a long non-coding RNA of Rattus rattus (black rat), 439 nucleotides long. RefSeq lists it as uncharacterized. Lineage: Eukaryota; Metazoa; Chordata; Mammalia; Rodentia; Muridae. The record is from RefSeq and is a predicted model, not a curated record. The transcript has 3 exons.